This 301-nucleotide ribosomal RNA is filed under the name uncultured bacterium. Its description in RNAcentral is "partial 16S ribosomal RNA". It matches the Rfam family "Bacterial small subunit ribosomal RNA", at positions 509 to 809 of the family's 1533-position model. The record is from RNAcentral.
CAGUAGCCGCGGGAAUACGUAGGUGGCAAGCGUUGUCCGGAAUUAUUGGGCGUAAAGGGCUCGCAGGCGGUUUCUUAAGUCUGAUGUGAAAGCCCCCGGCUCAACCGGGGAGGGUCACUGGAAACUGGGAAACUUGAGUGCAGAAGAGGAGAGUGGAAUUCCACGUGUAGCGGUGAAAUGCGUAGAGAUGUGGAGGAACACCAGUGGCGAAGGCGACUCUCUGGUCUGUAACUGACGCUGAGGAGCGAAAGCGUGGGGAGCGAACAGGAUUAGAUACCCCUGUAGUCCCUGUCUCUUAUAA